ACCGGUGCUAAUACCGGAUGCCCUCACCGGGUCGCAUGGCCUGGUGAGGAAAUGGAUUCCGCUUCGGGAGGGGCUCGCGGCCUAUCAGCUUGUUGGUGGGGUAAUGGCCCACCAAGGCUUCGACGGGUAGCUGGUCUGAGAGGACGGCCAGCCACACUGGGACUGAGACACGGCCCAGACUCCUACGGGAGGCAGCAGUAGGGAAUCUUGCGCAAUGGGCGAAAGCCUGACGCAGCAACGCCGCGUGGGGGAUGAAGGCCUUCGGGUUGUAAACCCCUUUCAGCAGGGACGAAAUUGACGGUACCUGCAGAAGAAGCCCCGGCCAACUACGUGCCAGCAGCCGCGGUAAUACGUAGGGGGCGAGCGUUGUCCGGAUUCAUUGGGCGUAAAGAGCUCGUAGGCGGCUUGGCAAGUCGGGUGUGAAAACUCCAGGCUCAACCUGGAGACGCCACCCGAUACUGCCA
This 464-nucleotide ribosomal RNA is filed under the name uncultured Actinomycetes bacterium. RNAcentral describes it as "bacterial SSU rRNA". It matches the Rfam family "Bacterial small subunit ribosomal RNA", at positions 156 to 638 of the family's 1533-position model. The record is from RNAcentral. Lineage: Bacteria; Bacillati; Actinomycetota; Actinomycetes.